UUCUCCUCACCAUCAAGGGAUCCAAGCUGGAUCUGAAAACAAAGUGCAGGAGGUAUCACUCCUGGGCCAAUGGAUAAAGCCUGGUGCUUCUUUGCUAUCCCGCUGAAAUUCCUCACUCCAGAAACCACAAGCUCAAAGGGCUCCAAGGCAGCAGAGAGGACGUGAACAAAGAGCUCCCUCCCUGCACUGCAGCUUGGAUCGGAUCCAAAACACUCACGGGCAGGAGGCAGGCUGGAGACAUGCAGACAAGUAAUUUUUAGAAUAGACCUAGUUAUUAGCUGUUGCUUUCACUGGCACAACAUGCAGACACAAGCCUGUGAUUUUAGCCCAAUGGUGGCUUCAUAAAAUGCCUUCUCUAAGUCUCCUUCCAUCA
Long non-coding RNA from Lepidothrix coronata (blue-crowned manakin), 373 nucleotides. RefSeq lists it as uncharacterized. The record is from RefSeq and is a predicted model, not a curated record. The transcript is spliced from 2 exons. NCBI's taxonomy places the organism in Eukaryota, Metazoa, Chordata, Aves, Passeriformes, Pipridae.